GAAAACUGAUCGGAUGCUUUAUUGGUAAGUGCUCUGGAAGCAUCAGAUCUAUAGCGAGACAUCCAGAACUUCCCAUGAUAGCAUCUUGUGGAUUGGACAGCUAUUUGCGUGUGUGGGAUGCAAAGACGAGACAACUUCUAUCUGCGGUUUUCCUCAAGCAACAUCUAACAAAUGUGGUGAUCGAUUCACAUUUCUCAG
Non-coding RNA from Musa acuminata subsp. malaccensis (wild Malaysian banana), 198 nucleotides. The record is from RefSeq and is a predicted model, not a curated record. Lineage: Eukaryota; Viridiplantae; Streptophyta; Magnoliopsida; Zingiberales; Musaceae.